This is a long non-coding RNA of Neodiprion virginianus, 289 nucleotides long. RefSeq lists it as uncharacterized. NCBI's taxonomy places the organism in Eukaryota, Metazoa, Arthropoda, Insecta, Hymenoptera, Diprionidae. The record is from RefSeq and is a predicted model, not a curated record. The transcript has 3 exons.
UCUUAUAGUUACGAUGAUACUUUUGAAAAUUUGUCUACGUAAAAAUAUUGAAUACAUUAUAAAUACAGCCAGUAAAUCGAACUAAAGUUGCUCUUUUGAACUUUGAAGAUCAAAGGUUGUCCCUUUCACGCGCAAUUUUUUGCAAGUCUGCACCGGGAUUUUCACCUGAUGAACAGCUUGGAGUAGGCUCUGUAGGUGGUCUAUCAAUUGAAGCAUCUAAUAAGUAUUCGACAUCUUGAAAUUCAAAAAGUGAAUCAUCGUCAUUCUCCAGAACGCUACCUGGAAUAUG